This 484-nucleotide ribosomal RNA is filed under the name uncultured bacterium. RNAcentral's name for it is "partial 16S ribosomal RNA". It matches the Rfam family "Bacterial small subunit ribosomal RNA", at positions 30 to 507 of the family's 1533-position model. The record is from RNAcentral.
AUUGAACGCUGGCGGCAGGCCUAACACAUGCAAGUCGAGCGGAUGAAGGGAGCUUGCUCCUGGAUUCAGCGGCGGACGGGUGAGUAAUGCCUAGGAAUCUGCCUGGUAGUGGGGGAUAACGUCCGGAAACGGGCGCUAAUACCGCAUACGUCCUGAGGGAGAAGGUGGGGGAUCUUCGGACCUCACGCUAUCAGAUGAGCCUAGGUCGGAUUAGCUAGUUGGUGGGGUAAAGGCCUACCAAGGCGACGAUCCGUAACUGGUCUGAGAGGAUGACCAGUCACACUGGAACUGAGACACGGUCCAGACUCCUACGGGAGGCAGCAGUGGGGAAUAUUGGACAAUGGGCGAAAGCCUGAUCCAGCCAUGCCGCGUGUGUGAAGAAGGUCUUCGGAUUGUAAAGCACUUUAAGUUGGGAGGAAGGGCAGUAAGUUAAUACCUUGCUGUUUUGACGUUACCAACAGAAUAAGCACCGGCUAACUUCGUG